GAUGAAAGCUGGCGGCGUGCCUAAUACAUGCAAGUCGAGCGAACGGACGAGAAGCUUGCUUCUCUGAUGUUAGCGGCGGACGGGUGAGUAACACGUGGAUAACCUACCUAUAAGACUGGGAUAACUUCGGGAAACCGGAGCUAAUACCGGAUAAUAUUUUGAACCGCAUGGUUCAAAAGUGAAAGACGGUCUUGCUGUCACUUAUAGAUGGAUCCGCGCUGCAUUAGCUAGUUGGUAAGGUAACGGCUUACCAAGGCAACGAUGCAUAGCCGACCUGAGUGGGUGAUCGGCCACACUGGAACUGAGACACGGUCCAGACUCCUACGGGAGGCAGCAGUAGGGAAUCUUCCGCAAUGGGCGAAAGCCUGACGGAGCAACGCCGCGUGAGUGAUGAAGGUCUUCGGAUCGUAAAACUCUGUUAUUAGGGAAGAACAUAUGUGUAAGUAACUGUGCACAUCUUGACGGUACCUAAUCAGAAAGCCACGGCUAACUACGUG
RNAcentral lists this ribosomal RNA (497 nucleotides) under uncultured bacterium. RNAcentral's name for it is "partial 16S ribosomal RNA". It matches the Rfam family "Bacterial small subunit ribosomal RNA", at positions 28 to 507 of the family's 1533-position model. The record is from RNAcentral.